AGCGAACGCUGGCGGCAGGCUUAACACAUGCAAGUCGAGCGGGCCCUUCGGGGUCAGCGGCAGACGGGUGAGUAACACGUGGGAACGUACCCUUUGGUUCGGAAUAACGCUGGGAAACUAGCGCUAAUACCGGAUACGCCCUUUUGGGGAAAGGCUUGCUGCCGAAGGAUCGGCCCGCGUCUGAUUAGCUAGUUGGUGGGGUAAUGGCCUACCAAGGCGACGAUCAGUAGCUGGUCUGAGAGGAUGAUCAGCCACACUGGGACUGAGACACGGCCCAGACUCCUACGGGAGGCAGCAGUGGGGAAUAUUGGACAAUGGGCGCAAGCCUGAUCCAGCCAGGCCGCGUGAGUGAUGAAGGCCUUAGGGUUGUAAAGCGCUUUUGUCCGGGACGAUAAUGACGGUACCGGAAGAAUAAGCCCCGGCUAACUUCGU
This 432-nucleotide ribosomal RNA is filed under the name uncultured bacterium. RNAcentral's name for it is "partial 16S ribosomal RNA". It matches the Rfam family "Bacterial small subunit ribosomal RNA", at positions 29 to 506 of the family's 1533-position model. The record is from RNAcentral.